AAUAAAUUUCUUAUGGUUUGAAAAAUUUAUUAUAAAUUUAUUUUACAUAUAAAUUUUAGUAUUAAUUUUUAAUUAUUUUAAUAAUAUUUAAUUUUUUCAGUAGUAAUUAAUAUUAAAAAUUUAAGAAAUUAAGAUUUAGUAAUAUUAAAAUUAAUAACUUAUUUUGUGCCAGCAGUUGCGGUUAUACAAAGAUUAAAUUAAAUUUUUUUAGUAAUUAAUUAAUAAUAUCAAUUUUAUAAUAAAAAAUUUAAAUUAUUAAGUGAAAUUUUAAUUUAAUAAAAAAUUAUAUAUAAUUUUAUGAAUUAAUAAAUUUUAUUAAAAACUAGGAUUAGAUACCCUAUUAUUAAAAAUUUAAAUUAAUAAUACUAAAAUAGUAAAUAAUUAUUUAUUGGAACUUAAAUAAAUUGGCGGUAUUUUAGUUCAUUUAGAGGAAUCUGUUUAUUAAUUGAUAUUCCACGAUUAAAUUUACUUAAUUUAAAAAUUUAUAUAUCGUUGUUAAAAAAAUAUUUUUUAAUAAUAAUAAUAUUUUAAAAUUUAGAUAAAAAUUUAAAUCAAAUCAAGAUGUAGUUUAUAAUUAAGAAUAUAAUGGAUUACAAUAAAUUUAUUUAUAUGAAUAUUAAUUUGUAAAAAUUAAUUAAAAGUGGAUUUAAAUGUAAUUUUAUUUAAUUAAAUAUAAUGAUUUAAAAUUAAAAUAUGUACAUAUUGCCCGUCGCUUUCAUUUAUAAAUUGGAAUAAGUCGUAACAAAGUAGAAGUACUGGAAAGUGUUUCUAGAAAGU
Molecule: non-coding RNA, 777 nt
Filed under: Endromis versicolora
Lineage: Eukaryota; Metazoa; Arthropoda; Insecta; Lepidoptera; Endromidae
Source: RNAcentral